This 2903-nucleotide ribosomal RNA is filed under the name Escherichia coli KTE204. RNAcentral describes it as "bacterial LSU rRNA". It matches the Rfam family "Bacterial large subunit ribosomal RNA". Lineage: Bacteria; Pseudomonadati; Pseudomonadota; Gammaproteobacteria; Enterobacterales; Enterobacteriaceae. The record is from RNAcentral.
UUAAGCGACUAAGCGUACACGGUGGAUGCCCUGGCAGUCAGAGGCGAUGAAGGACGUGCUAAUCUGCGAUAAGCGUCGGUAAGGUGAUAUGAACCGUUAUAACCGGCGAUUUCCGAAUGGGGAAACCCAGUGUGAUUCGUCACACUAUCAUUAACUGAAUCCAUAGGUUAAUGAGGCGAACCGGGGGAACUGAAACAUCUAAGUACCCCGAGGAAAAGAAAUCAACCGAGAUUCCCCCAGUAGCGGCGAGCGAACGGGGAGCAGCCCAGAGCCUGAAUCAGUGUGUGUGUUAGUGGAAGCGUCUGGAAAGGCGCGCGAUACAGGGUGACAGCCCCGUACACAAAAAUGCACAUACUGUGAGCUCGAUGAGUAGGGCGGGACACGUGGUAUCCUGUCUGAAUAUGGGGGGACCAUCCUCCAAGGCUAAAUACUCCUGACUGACCGAUAGUGAACCAGUACCGUGAGGGAAAGGCGAAAAGAACCCCGGCGAGGGGAGUGAAAAAGAACCUGAAACCGUGUACGUACAAGCAGUGGGAGCCUCUUUAUGGGGUGACUGCGUACCUUUUGUAUAAUGGGUCAGCGACUUAUAUUCUGUAGCAAGGUUAACCGAAUAGGGGAGCCGAAGGGAAACCGAGUCUUAACUGGGCGUUAAGUUGCAGGGUAUAGACCCGAAACCCGGUGAUCUAGCCAUGGGCAGGUUGAAGGUUGGGUAACACUAACUGGAGGACCGAACCGACUAAUGUUGAAAAAUUAGCGGAUGACUUGUGGCUGGGGGGGAAAGGCCAAUCAAACCGGGAGAUAGCUGGUUCUCCCCGAAAGCUAUUUAGGUAGCGCCUCGUGAAUUCAUCUCCGGGGGUAGAGCACUGUUUCGGCAAGGGGGUCAUCCCGACUUACCAACCCGAUGCAAACUGCGAAUACCGGAGAAUGUUAUCACGGGAGACACACGGCGGGUGCUAACGUCCGUCGUGAAGAGGGAAACAACCCAGACCGCCAGCUAAGGUCCCAAAGUCAUGGUUAAGUGGGAAACGAUGUGGGAAGGCCCAGACAGCCAGGAUGUUGGCUUAGAAGCAGCCAUCAUUUAAAGAAAGCGUAAUAGCUCACUGGUCGAGUCGGCCUGCGCGGAAGAUGUAACGGGGCUAAACCAUGCACCGAAGCUGCGGCAGCGACGCUUAUGCGUUGUUGGGUAGGGGAGCGUUCUGUAAGCCUGCGAAGGUGUACUGUGAGGUAUGCUGGAGGUAUCAGAAGUGCGAAUGCUGACAUAAGUAACGAUAAAGCGGGUGAAAAGCCCGCUCGCCGGAAGACCAAGGGUUCCUGUCCAACGUUAAUCGGGGCAGGGUGAGUCGACCCCUAAGGCGAGGCCGAAAGGCGUAGUCGAUGGGAAACAGGUUAAUAUUCCUGUACUUGGUGUUACUGCGAAGGGGGGACGGAGAAGGCUAUGUUGGCCGGGCGACGGUUGUCCCGGUUUAAGCGUGUAGGCUGGUUUUCCAGGCAAAUCCGGAAAAUCAAGGCUGAGGCGUGAUGACGAGGCACUACGGUGCUGAAGCAACAAAUGCCCUGCUUCCAGGAAAAGCCUCUAAGCAUCAGGUAACAUCAAAUCGUACCCCAAACCGACACAGGUGGUCAGGUAGAGAAUACCAAGGCGCUUGAGAGAACUCGGGUGAAGGAACUAGGCAAAAUGGUGCCGUAACUUCGGGAGAAGGCACGCUGAUAUGUAGGUGAAGCGACUUGCUCGUGGAGCUGAAAUCAGUCGAAGAUACCAGCUGGCUGCAACUGUUUAUUAAAAACACAGCACUGUGCAAACACGAAAGUGGACGUAUACGGUGUGACGCCUGCCCGGUGCCGGAAGGUUAAUUGAUGGGGUUAGCGGUAACGCGAAGCUCUUGAUCGAAGCCCCGGUAAACGGCGGCCGUAACUAUAACGGUCCUAAGGUAGCGAAAUUCCUUGUCGGGUAAGUUCCGACCUGCACGAAUGGCGUAAUGAUGGCCAGGCUGUCUCCACCCGAGACUCAGUGAAAUUGAACUCGCUGUGAAGAUGCAGUGUACCCGCGGCAAGACGGAAAGACCCCGUGAACCUUUACUAUAGCUUGACACUGAACAUUGAGCCUUGAUGUGUAGGAUAGGUGGGAGGCUUUGAAGUGUGGACGCCAGUCUGCAUGGAGCCGACCUUGAAAUACCACCCUUUAAUGUUUGAUGUUCUAACGUUGGCCCCUAAUCGGGGUUGCGGACAGUGUCUGGUGGGUAGUUUGACUGGGGCGGUCUCCUCCUAAAGAGUAACGGAGGAGCACGAAGGUUGGCUAAUCCUGGUCGGACAUCAGGAGGUUAGUGCAAUGGCAUAAGCCAGCUUGACUGCGAGCGUGACGGCGCGAGCAGGUGCGAAAGCAGGUCAUAGUGAUCCGGUGGUUCUGAAUGGAAGGGCCAUCGCUCAACGGAUAAAAGGUACUCCGGGGAUAACAGGCUGAUACCGCCCAAGAGUUCAUAUCGACGGCGGUGUUUGGCACCUCGAUGUCGGCUCAUCACAUCCUGGGGCUGAAGUAGGUCCCAAGGGUAUGGCUGUUCGCCAUUUAAAGUGGUACGCGAGCUGGGUUUAGAACGUCGUGAGACAGUUCGGUCCCUAUCUGCCGUGGGCGCUGGAGAACUGAGGGGGGCUGCUCCUAGUACGAGAGGACCGGAGUGGACGCAUCACUGGUGUUCGGGUUGUCAUGCCAAUGGCACUGCCCGGUAGCUAAAUGCGGAAGAGAUAAGUGCUGAAAGCAUCUAAGCACGAAACUUGCCCCGAGAUGAGUUCUCCCUGACUCCCUGAGAGUCCUGAAGGAACGUUGAAGACGACGACGUUGAUAGGCCGGGUGUGUAAGCGCAGCGAUGCGUUGAGCUAACCGGUACUAAUGAACCGUGAGGCUUAACCUU